AGUUAAGACCAGUUCCUUGCUGGGAAGCCCUAACUCUGGAGGGACAGAGACAGGUGUCUGAGCUGGGUGAAUUCCAGCCUGGGGAGAGGACUUUGAUCACCAGAUGUUUUUUUGGUGUGCGUGCUGUCUUAUGGUUGCGUGGCGGGUUUCUGCUUCAGAUGCAGAGCACUGUCCAGAACUUCCUCCAGUGGACAAUAGCAUAUUUGUCGCAAAGGAGGUGGAAGGACAGAUUCUGGGGACUUACGUUUGUAUCAAGGGCUACCACCUGGUAGGAAAGAAGACCCUUUUUUGCAAUGCCUCUAAGGAGUGGGAUAACACCACUACUGAGUGCCGCUUGGGCCACUGUCCUGAUCCUGUGCUGGUGAAUGGAGAGUUCAGUUCUUCAGGGCCUGUGAAUGUAAGUGACAAAAUCACGUUUAUGUGCAAUGACCACUACAUCCUCAAGGGCAGCAAUUGGAGCCAGUGUCUAGAGGACCACACCUGGGCACCUCCCUUUCCCAUCUGCAAAAGUAGUAAGUACAAGAGAAACCAUCAAGGAUCCCCAAAAUACUGAUUAGUAGUCUA
RNAcentral lists this small RNA (564 nucleotides) under Pan troglodytes (chimpanzee). RNAcentral's name for it is "retained intron". The record is from RNAcentral. Lineage: Eukaryota; Metazoa; Chordata; Mammalia; Primates; Hominidae.